This 702-nucleotide ribosomal RNA is filed under the name Shigella flexneri. Its description in RNAcentral is "partial 23S ribosomal RNA". It matches the Rfam family "Bacterial large subunit ribosomal RNA", at positions 2241 to 2925 of the family's 2925-position model. The record is from RNAcentral. Lineage: Bacteria; Pseudomonadati; Pseudomonadota; Gammaproteobacteria; Enterobacterales; Enterobacteriaceae.
CGGGUUGCGGACAGUGUCUGGUGGGUAGUUUGACUGGGGCGGUCUCCUCCUAAAGAGUAACGGAGGAGCACGAAGGUUGGCUAAUCCUGGUCGGACAUCAGGAGGUUAGUGCAAUGGCAUAAGCCAGCUUGACUGCGAGCGUGACGGCGCGAGCAGGUGCGAAAGCAGGUCAUAGUGAUCCGGUGGUUCUGAAUGGAAGGGCCAUCGCUCAACGGAUAAAAGGUACUCCGGGGAUAACAGGCUGAUACCGCCCAAGAGUUCAUAUCGACGGCGGUGUUUGGCACCUCGAUGUCGGCUCAUCACAUCCUGGGGCUGAAGUAGGUCCCAAGGGUAUGGCUGUUCGCCAUUUAAAGUGGUACGCGAGCUGGGUUUAGAACGUCGUGAGACAGUUCGGUCCCUAUCUGCCGUGGGCGCUGGAGAACUGAGGGGGGCUGCUCCUAGUACGAGAGGACCGGAGUGGACGCAUCACUGGUGUUCGGGUUGUCAUGCCAAUGGCACUGCCCGGUAGCUAAAUGCGGAAGAGAUAAGUGCUGAAAGCAUCUAAGCACGAAACUUGCCCCGAGAUGAGUUCUCCCUGACCCUUUAAGGGUCCUGAAGGAACGUUGAAGACGACGACGUUGAUAGGCCGGGUGUGUAAGCGCAGCGAUGCGUUGAGCUAACCGGUACUAAUGAACCGUGAGGCUUAACCUUACAACGCCGAAG